Long non-coding RNA from Hyaena hyaena (striped hyena), 570 nucleotides. RefSeq lists it as uncharacterized. Lineage: Eukaryota; Metazoa; Chordata; Mammalia; Carnivora; Hyaenidae. The record is from RefSeq and is a predicted model, not a curated record. The transcript is spliced from 5 exons.
UAUUCACAAACUGCUUCUAAUGUUUCCACAAGGAAAACCCAGGUUUUUUUUUAAGACUUCAGGGAGUCAGCACAGAGGAAGUGUUCCUCUUUCCCAGAUCUUUCCACUCCCAUAAAUCCACUUCUUUCCUCAUUGCCCCCAUCUCUGCCUCCUUACUCUACUUCCUGAAGUUACCUGACUAUCAGCAUGGAGGAAGGAGGCAGCGCAGGCCCAACCUCAAACCUCCAGCUGGUGUUCAAGUUCACUACUUCACCAUCAAGUUAAAAAUAAUGGCUGACGCCCAGAAUGCUAAAGCUGGAAUACACUGCAACCACUGUGCCCACCUCCAUUGCAGAGCUGAGGAAACUGAGGCCCAGGAGCUCUGCCUAAGGGUAUACAGUCAAGGACAGUGCAGCCUGGGGUCUGAUACCCAACCAGCUCUGGCUUUCUCCGCAUCAUACAGAGACUAAGAUGGACUCUACUUUGGAUCCUAAGGAAGAAAAUUCUUUAUGUCAGCCAAAGCUCUCAGGAAACCUCUUGUCUAAGGCACCUUCAUUCCCUGGUUGUGCACAGCUCCCCAACGCAGCUGAU